UCCUCAUAACCAAUGAGUGUGGAGAUACUGGUAUGGCAUACAGGUGAGAUGUAAUGGUACAUCUGCACUGAAUGUGACCAACUCCGGAGCAAUUUCUGCUGUCAAGAUUUGCUCCGAUGGGAUAUGGGUAUAAAUGUCCCUCCGACCUGAGACCGCCAUGGUGACUUGCAAGCAACUCACUGCACUUAGGCACUGGACUACCUGAAUUUUUAAUUCAAUGACGGAAGGCUGCUGGGUGUAGUCAAGUACUUGACUUGUCGGUGCGUGUGUCAAGAUGGGAUUAACCACUCCAGUUUAGAAGCUGUGUACAGUCGUGUUUCAAUUUAGCAAAACCUUGGCCAGGGUAGUCCUAGUGAGGAGUCACAGGACUAAUUGAGUUGAGCAUGAUUCGGAUGAUAUCAUCAGGGUUGACAGUUUAACCCUGAGUCGUCCUAAACACAGGGGUCAAAAGGGAUGAAUUAUAUGGUAACCAUAUUCACGUAGGUUCUGAAUGUUGUGAUUGUGAUUAUUCGACCUAUCCGGUCAUCGGGUACCAUUGCUAGAUGGUCAUUUCGAUUAGUACAGAAAU
Molecule: long non-coding RNA, 568 nt
Filed under: Elaeis guineensis (African oil palm)
Lineage: Eukaryota; Viridiplantae; Streptophyta; Magnoliopsida; Arecales; Arecaceae
Description: long non-coding RNA (EGUI_LNC013164)
Source: RNAcentral